GAUGAACGCUGGCGGCGUGCCUAAUACAUGCAAGUCGAGCGAACGGACGAGAAGCUUGCUUCUCUGACGUUAGCGGCGGACGGGUGAGUAACGCGUGGAUAACCUACCUAUAAGACUGGGAUCACUUCGGGAAACCGGAGCUAAUACCGGAUAAUAUUUUGAACCGCAUGGUUCAAAAGUGAAAGACGGUCUUGCUGUCACUUAUAGAUGGAUCCGCGCUGCAUUAGCUAGUUGGUAAGGUAACGGCUUACCAAGGCAACGAUGCAUAGCCGACCUGAGAGGGUGAUCGGCCACACUGGAAGUGAGACACGGUCCAGACGCCUGCGGUAGGCAGCAGUAUGGAAUCUGCCGCAGUGGGCGAAAGCCUGACGGAGCAACGCCGCGUGAGUGAUGAAGGUCUUCGGAUCGUAAAACUCUGUUAUUAGUGAAGAACAGAUGUGUAAGUAACUGUGCACAUCUUGACGGUACCUAAUCAGAAAGCCACGGCUAACUACGUG
RNAcentral lists this ribosomal RNA (497 nucleotides) under uncultured bacterium. RNAcentral describes it as "partial 16S ribosomal RNA". It matches the Rfam family "Bacterial small subunit ribosomal RNA", at positions 28 to 507 of the family's 1533-position model. The record is from RNAcentral.